GUUAGGAAUAUUGGACAAUGGGCGCAAGCCUGAUCCAGCCAUGCCGCGUGAGUGAUGAAGGCCUUCGGGUUGUAAAGCUCUUUAGCCGAUGAUUAUAAUGACUGUAGUCGGAAAAUAAGCCCCGGCUAACUUCGUGCCAGCAGCCGCGGUAAUACGAAGGGGGCGAGCGUUAUUCGGAAUCACUGGACGUAAAGCGUGCGUAGGCGGCUUUGCAAGUUGGGAGUGAAAGCCCAGGGCUCAACCCUGGAAUUGCUCUCAAAACUGCAAGGCUCGAAUUCGGGAGAGGAUAGCGGAAUUGUCAGUGUAGCAGUGAAAUGCGUAGAUAUUGACAGGAACACCAGUGGCGUAAGCGGCUAUCUGGACCGAUAUUGACGCUGAGGCACGAAAGCGUGGGGAUCAAACAGGAUUAGAUACCCUGGUAGUCC
This 425-nucleotide ribosomal RNA is filed under the name uncultured bacterium. RNAcentral describes it as "partial 16S ribosomal RNA". It matches the Rfam family "Bacterial small subunit ribosomal RNA", at positions 354 to 796 of the family's 1533-position model. The record is from RNAcentral.